AAAGCGUUUGGGGCAGGUGAAGUUCCCUCCAUGCGCCUCAUAUCUUGACGCAGCGUCCCUCUGCAAAGGAAACAUACUUUUCUUGCUUUGGCUCUGUGUUAAUUCUGUUGCUCUUGGGUUUUUUUCUUCUAAGGUGCCUCCUCCUAGUAGGCAAGCAAAGAGGGAGGGAGACUACUCUGGAGUGAGCAUCUGAAUGGGGCAAGGGAGUCGGACACAAGGUGGCAUUUGGCUCGAAGUUGACUGCCCACGGGAUUAUAGAGGGCAGCAAAAGGAAGAUGCAAGAGGGAUGUCGUGGUUUAAACAUGCGCUGUGUUUUAACUUAGGAAAAGAAUCCUACGUUAUUUUGAAGGCGAUGUCCCUUAGGUUCCGUGGGAUUUGUUUCUGAGUGUCUGAAUGGGUGAAGCUACGUUCUUCCUCUCUUUCAAAUUUCCAUAUUCCUUGGGGAAAGUUAUCUUAUCAAGAAUUGUGUGAAAGGAACUAAAAAAAAUACGGUGUUCAGCCCUGGAGGACUAUCUUACCAGUCAAGUAGAGACAAUCCUAACAAAGAUGUUGUUAUCAUUGCAAGUUGGUUGCAGCUGCCCAGAAAUAAUGGUGACAGUUGGAGUGACCUGUUGAGUUGGAUAUGUAUUUUGUAUAAGAAAUUUUCUUAUUCAGUAGACCAUUACAAAACAGUGCCCUUUUUGUAUUUAAAUGUGUGUAUAAAUACAGUUAUAUUUAAGUUGGUAAUAGGGCAAGUCAGAAACAAAAGUGCUCUGAAUUAUCAAGAUUAUCAAGACCACUCUGACUGAAUUUUCACAAUGGCUACUUAAAUUUGCAGGUCUGUUCCAAAGGAAACUGCAUUAGAGGAGUUUGAUGGACACUUCCUUUCAAGUUGCCCCUCAAGUUGGAUUGUCCAUUGUUGAUCCUGGCUGAUUUUUGGAAGCUAGGCAGAAUCAGGCCUGGUUAGCAUUUGGAUGGGAGACAAACUGGAAAUAGCAGAUACUUUAAGCAAGGCUAAAAAAAUAAUCCCAGAAGAAGACAGUGCGGUGGGAAACCAUUUUCUGUAUUGUGAGAACAUUACAUGGAUUUGUAAUUACAUUACAUGUCACACUUGGCUUGAUGGUACCUUUGUUGUUGCAUGCAAUUGAGUUAGGUCCAAAUUCUGGUUGUUUACAUGAGUGCCUUCGUAAGUACCUUGAUGCAGUUCUCUCUGCAGAAAUACAGAAGUGAUUUGCCAUUGUC
RNAcentral lists this long non-coding RNA (1221 nucleotides) under Salvator merianae (Argentine black and white tegu). Its description in RNAcentral is "lncRNA (ENSSMRG00000013300.1)". The record is from RNAcentral. Lineage: Eukaryota; Metazoa; Chordata; Lepidosauria; Squamata; Teiidae.